UACGGAGGUUGCGAGCGUUAAUCGGAAUUACUGGGCGUAAAGCGUGCGCAGGCGGUUUGUUAAGCGAGAUGUGAAAGCCCCGGGCUCAACCUGGGAACCGCAUUUCGAACUGGCAAACUAGAGUCUUGUAGAGGGGGGUAGAAUUCCAGGUGUAGCGGUGAAAUGCGUAGAGAUCUGGAGGAAUACCGGUGGCGAAGGCGGCCCCCUGGACAAAGACUGACGCUCAGGCACGAAAGCGUGGGGAGCAAACAGG
RNAcentral lists this ribosomal RNA (253 nucleotides) under uncultured microorganism. RNAcentral describes it as "partial 16S ribosomal RNA". It matches the Rfam family "Bacterial small subunit ribosomal RNA", at positions 524 to 776 of the family's 1533-position model. The record is from RNAcentral.